CCCGGUACCCAAUCCUAUACUGCCAACGUAAUCAAGGGCUCCCUCGCAGCUUGCACAAUCAUCCUCACAAUAUUUAUUUACACUCGUAUUUUUAAGCGCCUAAUACAGUCCACGACAGAAAAUGGCAACCAGCACCACCAAUCCUGCUUGGGGGGGAUGGGCUUGACUUUCAGAGAUUGCCUGGUGUGGUCAAAACUUAAGUGGGCUACUCUCAGGGUCACGUCCCUGAUCCCACUUACAAGCUGGUAUGCACCAACACCACCAACCACGUUGAAGUUGUUCUUGUCCAAUUUGACCCGGAAGUUUGCCCAUAUACCGACAUCCUCUCUCUUUUCUGGGUGGUGAUGUUGGUACACAGUGUAGAUCAGGGAUUUACUACUACAAUGAGGCCCAAGCUAAGUUAGCCCAGGAAUCAAAGGAAGCUAAGCAGUUGGAAUUGAAGGAUAGCAAGGUUGUGACAGAAAUUCUGCCAGCAAAGAGAUUUUACAGAGCUGAAGAGUACCAUCAGCAGUAUCUGGCGAAAUGUGGAGGUCAAGGUGUUAAACAGUCUGCUGAAAAAUGUUGCAAUGACCCUAUUAGAUGCUAUGGUUGAACCUUUUUCUUUUAUAUAUAUAAAAAACAUCCUUUUGAUGAAUAAUAUAAGAAUUACACUACUGGGGCUAUUUUGAAUGUGAAAAAUUCAUUUUGUUUCAAAUCGGAUUCCACAUUUCAAACUGGUCUUGAUAGUUUGGUUUCACUUUACUAGGUUGUCCUGUCCGCUUGCACCACGUAUCAAUAUGCUUAUUGUGUACUGUAUUCUAAAGACAUCCUAGUAACAAUGAACCUCCCUUUUUUU
This is a long non-coding RNA of Populus euphratica (Euphrates poplar), 835 nucleotides long. RefSeq lists it as uncharacterized. The record is from RefSeq and is a predicted model, not a curated record. Lineage: Eukaryota; Viridiplantae; Streptophyta; Magnoliopsida; Malpighiales; Salicaceae. The transcript is spliced from 2 exons.